AUGAGAUGUUGCUUCAGCUUAUUGAACAGCCAGAUUGCUGCUUCCUUUCCUGAACAUGAGAAAAAGAAUUCUGGUUUAAAACAUAACGUGCUGACAGCAGCUGAAAUCUCUCCAAUGACCUAUCUAGUCUGGACUAUCCGGUGUAUCUUCUGCAUAAUUAUCUAUACUGGGAUCUUCUGGGAACAGGUAUAGAGUUUGGUUAGCAAAGGACAAGUGUUUUUCUGCUCAAGUUACCAACCUGUACUAAAAUACAAACAGCUUGGAAAUUCACAAAUGAAACAUUUCCAAGUGCCGCAACAGAGGAUUGGGAGCUACCUUUUUAUAACAUUUGUUCACUAUAGUCUUGGGUAAGUUCCAGAAGUUUGUGAUCAAAGCAAUAAUGAUAUUAUUCCUCUAAGUAGUGAACAUAGUAAUAUCACAGAUGAUUAAUCCUGUAUGCUGAGGUACCAUAACAAUUAGAUUAGAUUAGAUUACUCCUAAUCAGUCCUAUCAAGGCUUUAGUGCUGCUCAAAACAGAAUAAGACCAGCUGAUCAUAUUACAUGUAUGAUAUUGUUCUUUGCAUAUAGUGGAGGUGAUCACUAUUAGAAAAUAGUCUCUGGCAGCAUGUUAUCCAUAAAGCAGGCUUAUAUGAAAACUCAGUGGGACUCUACAGUCAUAUUACUCCUCUCCUGGGCUCACUGAGUUGCUAUUUCUCAAGAAGCUCAGGCUCUUUUUUCUAUUCUGCUUGUUGCAUCAUGAAAAAUAUUUAGAGAGCAAGCUCAGGAGUACUAGAGAGGGGAAGAUGGAGAGCUAGGCACAGAUGGCAUUGAUAAUGAAGCAAAGCAGCUGUCAAUAUUAUUUCAUAAUGAGUUAUUAAUGAUUAGCACUCUAGCUUGAUAUGUUGACAGGACCAAGCUUGCUGUUAAGAGUGUGCUAUCUUGCUUGUCAAGAACAAUAUGGCUAAUAGAGAACAGGGACUAGCCUUCAAGAAUUUCUCAAUGCUAUUGGUUCCUGUUUGUUUCAGUAGGAGCUGUAGCCCUUUGCCACAAUGCCUUAUAUAACCAACUCCUAAAUAUUUGAAAAAUGGGAAGAGAAAGCAUACAGUAGAACAACGUCAUUCAGCUGUAAAGAAGUAACUUCAGAAGCAUUUUGAACCUUGCCCUUUACUCUUGCUGAGAUCAACAUGCAUUUGUAAAUACACUGCUUAUACAG
This 1192-nucleotide long non-coding RNA is filed under the name Struthio camelus australis. RNAcentral's name for it is "lncRNA (ENSSCUG00000007388.1)". Lineage: Eukaryota; Metazoa; Chordata; Aves; Struthioniformes; Struthionidae. The record is from RNAcentral.